UUUUCUCUAGUAAAAAAAUUAUGUUGGUCUUGUAAAUCAGAGUUGGGGUAGCCCGGGUUUGU
RNAcentral lists this transfer RNA (62 nucleotides) under Pinctada margaritifera. RNAcentral's name for it is "tRNA-Thr". Lineage: Eukaryota; Metazoa; Mollusca; Bivalvia; Pterioida; Pteriidae. The record is from RNAcentral.